Pelobates cultripes (western spadefoot toad) is the source of this 299-nucleotide non-coding RNA. Lineage: Eukaryota; Metazoa; Chordata; Amphibia; Anura; Pelobatidae. The record is from the annotation of a GenBank genome assembly.
GCAGUGCUUAGAGUUACAAACUUACUUGUAUUGCCACAGCAGGUACAAGCUAAUAAGUAAAACAGGGUAAACAAUAUUAUGGCAUGCAAGAAACAGCACAAUUUUGUAUUAAGUUCAGGUUAGGAAGAGAUGUUUGAGGCUGUAGCUUAAACUAGGCGUUUGAUUACGAGAGACAUAUUAGACAUACUGAUUUAGUUCAGGAGGGAAAUACUAUAAUAGGACAUGCUUUGGUCGAUAGCCAAGCACGUCACGCUAAAUUGCACAUUAUGAAUUAUAUAGGAUGUCCUGUUAGGGAUCCG